Molecule: unclassified non-coding RNA, 1181 nt
Filed under: Hevea brasiliensis (rubber tree)
Lineage: Eukaryota; Viridiplantae; Streptophyta; Magnoliopsida; Malpighiales; Euphorbiaceae
Source: RNAcentral
CAGGGGCUUUGGAAUGAAUUAAACUCUGGGAAUCAAUCUGAAGUUUCUACAUUUUAUCAUUACCCAGUCCACAGAACCAAUCUCAUAGGCCGUGAAUAAGACUAAGGGUUGAUGUGGAAAUGAGGUUAUAUCAUCCUACCAUAAACUUGAGCUCAAACUCAGCCCUGCUAACAUAAAAUAAAGAUGAACUUAUCAUCUUGCAUUUACAUGAUUAACUUAUAAAAUGACAAACCGUACGUGCUUAACCCCAAAAAUUAGAACGAAAAAUUAAAAUAUUGAUAAUUGAUCCCUCCCUUCUUUCACUGGAAUGCAGCCGCAGAACUGGCCUUUAUCACGUCUAAUAAACUAACUUCUCCACUGUUCUGUGAUUCUCUUCUAUAUGGAUUGCAUACCUCUAACGACCCAGCUAGAAAAUGUUUACCUGGUCUUCUUGGCUUUGGCCAAUUUCUUCUUUCUUUUCUUUACAGCCUUAGGAAUUUUAGUCUUCCGAGCUUCUCUCUUCUCUUCUUUGACUUUCUUUUUGUUCUGUUUUCUAGCGGUUCUUUUAUCAACAGGAUCCUUUUUCUCAACUUCUGACAGGGAACCACUCUCAUCUGAGUCGCUUGAGUUCUCAUCAUCAUCUGUCUCAGAAUCAGAUUCACUUUCAGGAGUUUUAGAAUGGUCAUCCUCAUUUACAGAAAACACUUCUACAGGGUUCAAAUUCUCUUCCUUUUGGUCUUUUUGGGCUUCAGAAAACUGAACUUUAGAUAGAGCCUCCUUUAGUCCUGUUAUGGUUUGAUAGUACAUAUCUCCUGUAUCCUUGCCACUUGUUAUCCUUAUUACAUCCUCCUCAGCAUUCUUGACAUGAUCUAAUGUCUUUGGAAUAUAUGACUGCACAAAUACGGAGUCUGCAAUUUCAUCCUCUACUGUGACAUCUCUUGACAAAAUUUUUUGCUGAACCUCUUCCAAGUAACUAUCAACAGAAUCAUCAGUAAUUGUUGGGUCAACUAUGAAGUCAAAUAGCUCUCGAAUUGUCAUGACAGCUACACCAUGUUUCUUAAAAAAAUCAGAAACAUGAACACAAUCUUCACNNNAUCAAGGGCAUGAGGGUGGUCGAGAUCAACUGCUUGAGAGACAUCAAUUACAUACAAGUGACCCUCAAAAUAUAGUAUGUUAUAUUCACUGAGGUCCCCAUGCACCAG